GACUCUCUCAGGUUCUAGCACGCCCUCGGAAACGCUAGAAUCUUUAGGCCGGCGCGAGCCGGUCUUCUUUUU
This 72-nucleotide non-coding RNA is filed under the name Paraburkholderia phenazinium. RNAcentral describes it as "Burkholderia phenazinium Burkholderia sRNA 54". It matches the Rfam family "Burkholderia sRNA 54". From Rfam's summary of the family: Identified by RNA-seq, RACE and Northern blot. Strongly expressed in biofilm. The record is from Rfam by way of RNAcentral. Lineage: Bacteria; Pseudomonadati; Pseudomonadota; Betaproteobacteria; Burkholderiales; Burkholderiaceae.